RNAcentral lists this long non-coding RNA (221 nucleotides) under Cicer arietinum (chickpea). RNAcentral's name for it is "long non-coding RNA (CARI_LNC003400)". The record is from RNAcentral. Lineage: Eukaryota; Viridiplantae; Streptophyta; Magnoliopsida; Fabales; Fabaceae.
AACAUUUUCCUCUACCUCAUUGAUAAAUACUACAUAAUCAUUCGAAAUAGCAUUUUUCCUUUCUCUAGUGGAUCUCCGCAAUGAAGCUAGCUCUUGAGGCACUUGUUCUUGAGGAUCUUGAAUUUGAUAUGAAUUUUGUUCUUCCUGAACAACCAGAUCAUCUUGAGUUUGUUCAAUAAUGGGAAAGUCAAUUGGUGGAAGAAUCAGUUCUGGAAUUGUUA